CCCCCCCCCGUCGACAACGCUCGCAGUGGGUCACUUUCCUAUCUCAGGGGGGCAUCAUGAAGGAGUUAUGGGCAUAUUUUGAGUUCUGAUAUUGGGCUGGUUUUUGGGCUGGUUUUAUUGGCCAUUGGGCUUGUUUUGGGCUGGUUUUAUUGGCCAUUGGGCUUGUUUUGGGCUGGUUUUAUUGGCCAUUGGGCUUGUUUUGUCACACAGACCUGGCAACCCUGACUCCGCCACAUGACAUUGGACGUGUUCACAAUUUAUGAAGGAGCGGUGGGCUGCAGUGAAGACCGGGGAGCCACUGGGGGUUCAGUGUCUUGCUCAAGGACACUUGACAUGCAGAUGUGUCAAAUAAAUGUGUGAUUUUAAAGAUAACUGUCGACCGAUCACAAAGAAGCUAGCCGGCCACGGCAGGGGGACAGCUCUCCUGGUGACCUCCAUCGGCAAAGAGGUUGUUCAGAUCCUGAACAGUGUCCUGACGGUGCAGGAGGCGCCGGGACUGGACACAAUGGUCUCUGGAGUGAUGGAGCGGUACCGGCAGGCAGCUGUAACACCCCAGACCAGGUUUGCAUCCUGGCCAGACCUCCACAUACGACUGGACAUAUAUGUCACUUUAUGCCGCGGCUGACCGUUGACUGCACUACCGAUGCUCAGACCACUAACCGGGUCCGGACCCAGACGCCUUUGUCUCUGGACCGUGGACCGAGAACCGAUAUAUAAUUCUGAAUUAUUAUUAUUAAAUAUUCAUGUUUGGCUUCUCCCCGGCGCAGCUUUACGGUUCUUGCUCUGCAAUCCAGGAAACACACCAACCAAUUACAUGCAUUGGAAAUCAUCUCAUGUGAUCCUACUCAGCCAAUCACACGUGUGUAUUCCCUUAAGCCCCACCCUCGACUCGAGUGCCAUAUUCACACACACAGGAGUGACAGGAGAGACCUGUUAGAUGGAAAAGGUACGUGAGUCAAAGAAGUUAAUUCACUUGGCGCUCUAAAAAGAAAAAUGUGGACAGCUUUACCUGAUAAUGGACAGACCUGUACAUGUUUAUUAUUCCCACAACCAGUUUAAAAGCAGUAUGUCUCAUGUUCACCCAUAUUAAAAGGAGUGAUGUGAAGCACGGCUACGAGACAAAGCACAGGUCUUUUGAGCAAAUAUACCCACUCGCAUCCAAAAUUAAAGGCACAGAAAAAUUAACCUAGGAGCCCAAUAUGAUCAGAAUCCUGACUCAUGAAUUAACUGCCCAACAAUAAUGUUAACAGAGCAGAAAUGAGCUGAAACCAGUGGUUUAAUAACUGCAGAUAAAGUCCAUGCUUACACAAUUUCUCUUCUUAGAUGACAAGAAUACAAUAUCUUGGCUCUUUUGAGUAUUGCGCUUGACGCUCGAAUAAACUGAAUUUAAAGCUGUCACAUUUUUCAACGCUUUCUGUUUUAAAUCCAGCCUUUAUUUUACUUUAGAUAAGUAAAGAUAAUGUAUUUAUUAUUUAUAAUUAAUCCAGUUAAAUCUCUAACAAUAAAUAUUGUUUGAAUGUUA
Pseudoliparis swirei is the source of this 1522-nucleotide long non-coding RNA. RefSeq lists it as uncharacterized. The record is from RefSeq and is a predicted model, not a curated record. The transcript is spliced from 3 exons. Lineage: Eukaryota; Metazoa; Chordata; Actinopteri; Perciformes; Liparidae.